Molecule: long non-coding RNA, 618 nt
Organism: Paramormyrops kingsleyae
Lineage: Eukaryota; Metazoa; Chordata; Actinopteri; Osteoglossiformes; Mormyridae
Source: RefSeq, a predicted model, not a curated record
CAGUGUCAAAGAGUGGGGCCGCCUUUGAGUGCAGUUAAAACGCUGGAUUGCAUAAAGGUAUCUGCUGUUUGGGAGCUUGUUGGAAUUGACCUCACAGGUCCACUUCCAAAAACAUCCUCUGGCUUUGAAUAUAUUUUAACGGCAACCGACUAUUUUUCCAAGUGGCUGGAGGCCUUCCCUCAAAAGACAAAGUCUGCAGUGGAAGUAGCGAAAAACCUCUGUCCGCUUAUUUAUAGACAUGGUUGUCCCCUGCGCAUACUAUCAGACCAAGGACGGGAGUUUGUAAAUCAAAUUAACAGCAAUCUCUGCAAACAGCUGUCCAUUGAGAGGAGUGUAACUGCUGCCUACCACCCCCAGACAAAUGGGCUUGAUGAGAAGGCCAAUGACAACAUCAAACGAGCACUAAAAAAGCUUGUGAAUCAGCAGCAGGACGACUGGGACCUAUACCUCAAUGCAACACUUUUUUCACUGCGAUCAAAAGUGCACACCACAACAAAAUUCUCACCAUUUUUGUUAAUGUACGGAAGAGAGGCUAGAUUUCCUUCUGAAGUGCCUGUUGAAAUGCCGGUAAGUUUUUGUCUGUCUGGCUAUUUGUCUAUCAAAAAAAAAAAAAAAAGC